This is a long non-coding RNA of Micropterus salmoides (largemouth bass), 622 nucleotides long. RefSeq lists it as uncharacterized. The record is from RefSeq and is a predicted model, not a curated record. Lineage: Eukaryota; Metazoa; Chordata; Actinopteri; Centrarchiformes; Centrarchidae. The transcript is spliced from 2 exons.
GAUGGAUGGAGUGAUGGAGUGAUGGAUGGAGGGAUGGAUGGAUGGAGUGUCAUAACAGCGGCAAUUGUGCAGCGACUCUUGUUUGAGAUUUGAACAGCGUACAGACUCUGGAGGAUGUUGCACCAGAAUCUUUUGCAUAGUCUCCAGCUGUAACAGGUAUAUUAUAUUCUGAAAGAAACUCCCCAGAUAGCAGCUGACUCUGGGCCGAAUCCGCCUCCAAACCGGCAGAUCCGUGUAACAGUCACGCCCGUUUUACUGCCCCGUUCCGGAUACGGCCCGCAUGUAGUCUGUGUGCACUCAGGAUCGGGCGUGAGCCUCCAUCAGUCGGCGGAAUCAUAAUAGUUCUGGCCCGGACUCGUCGGAACGAGCGCGCGAACUGUUUCUUUCUUUGGAUCAGUUCGGACUGGAGGCUUUGUGGAAAGAGUUUAUAACAGUUCAAUCUUUUCUUCAGCCCUGGAUUAAUAGGGUAAGUUAAGUUAAUGUAAGUAUUUUUUUCCGACUUUGAUUUGAUCUUAGCUAUAGUUGAGCAUAACGUUAUAAAGUUAUGGUAAGUUAAGUGUUUAAAAAAUCAAAGCCAUCUAAAGAAGUUGGAAUUUUCAUCUGACAUUAAUCAAAACGUAAA